UUCGUCCUACGGGGGGCAGCAGUGGGGAAUAUUGGGCAAUGGGCGCAAGCCUGACCCAGCAACGCCGCGUGAAGGAAGAAGGCUUUCGGGUUGUAAACUUCUUUUCUCAGGGACGAAGCAAGUGACGGUACCUGAGGAAUAAGCCACGGCUAACUACGUGCCAGCAGCCGCGGUAAUACGUAGGUGGCAAGCGUUAUCCGGAUUUACUGGGUGUAAAGGGGGGGAAGGCGGG
Molecule: ribosomal RNA, 232 nt
Filed under: uncultured bacterium
Lineage: Bacteria
Description: partial 16S ribosomal RNA
Rfam family: Bacterial small subunit ribosomal RNA
Source: RNAcentral